UGAAGUUGUUUAAGGACCCAGAUGCACCUUUCCCAUAGUUAGAGUUCAUUUUGGCCUUGUUUUCACAGAUUCAACAAAAAAUAGAACAAAUCCGUAUUGAUCUAAGAGAUGAAAACAAAAUCUGUUAAAACAGAGAACGUACCUGCUAAUUUGAGAGCGAGAAAGCCAAUAUCAGAGAAUCCAAACAAGGCGCAUCGGAGAAAGGAGAAAAGGGUAAUGUGAAAGAGUGGUUUUUGGGUGUCCGAUGGAAGGAAAACCAGAAGGCGAUGUGAAGGCCUCUUCGUAUAAUUUUCUAUUUUCAAUGGAAUCGAAUUUCAGAAUCCUGCUGCCUGCUGCUACAGGAAGGGUUAAUUUUCCUCCCCUUUUACAGUUGCUUUUGGAGAGUCG
RNAcentral lists this unclassified non-coding RNA (387 nucleotides) under Hevea brasiliensis (rubber tree). The record is from RNAcentral. Lineage: Eukaryota; Viridiplantae; Streptophyta; Magnoliopsida; Malpighiales; Euphorbiaceae.